GUGCCAGCAGCCGCGGUAAUACGUAGGUCCCGAGCGUUGUCCGGAUUUAUUGGGCGUAAAGCGAGCGCAGGUGGUUUAAUAAGUCUGAUGUAAAAGGCAGUGGCUCAACCAUUGUGUGCAUUGGAAACUGUUAGACUUGAGUGCAGUAGAGGAGAGUGGAAUUCCAUGUGUAGCGGUGAAAUGCGUAGAUAUAUGGAGGAACACCGGUGGCGAAAGCGGCUCUCUGGACUGUAACUGACACUGAGGCUCGAAAGCGUGGGUAGCAAACAGGAUUAGAUACCCUGGUAGUCCACGCCGUAAACGAUGAGUGCUAGUUGUUUGGGGCUAUCCAGCCCUAAGUGACGCAGCAAACGCAUUAAGCACUCCGCCUGGGGAGUACGACCGCAAGGUUGAAACUCAAAGGAAUUGACGGGGGCCCGCACAAGCGGUGGAGCAUGUGGUUUAAUUCGAAGCAACGCGAAGAACCUUACCAGGUCUUGACAUACCAGUGCUAUUCUUAGAGAUAAGAAGUUACUUCGGUACACUGGAUACAGGUGGUGCAUGGUUGUCGUCAGCUCGUGUCGUGAGAUGUUGGGUUAAGUCCCGCAACGAGCGCAACCCCUAUUGUUAGUUGCCAUCAUUAAGUUGGGCACUCUAGCGAGACUGCCGGUAAUAAACCGGAGGAAGGUGGGGAUGACGUCAAAUCAUCAUGCCCCUUAUGACCUGGGCUACACACGUGCUACAAUGGUUGGUACAACGAGUCGCAAGCUAGUGAUAGCAAGCUAAUCUCUUAAAGCCAAUCUCAGUUCGGAUUGUAGGCUGCAACUCGCCUACAUGAAGUCGGAAUCGCUAGUAAUCGCGGAUCAGCACGCCGCGGUGAAUACGUUCCCGGGCCUUGUACACACCGCCCGU
This 891-nucleotide ribosomal RNA is filed under the name uncultured bacterium. RNAcentral's name for it is "bacterial SSU rRNA". It matches the Rfam family "Bacterial small subunit ribosomal RNA", at positions 505 to 1397 of the family's 1533-position model. The record is from RNAcentral.